UACAGAGGGUGCAAGCGUUAAUCGGAAUUACUGGGCGUAAAGCGUGCGUAGACGGUCAUGUAAGUCGGGUGUGAAAGCCCCGGGCUCAACCUGGGAAUUGCAUUCGAGACUGCAUGGCUAGGAUGCGGAAGAGGGAAGCGGAAUUUCCGGUGUAGCGGUGAAAUGCGUAGAUAUCGGAAGGAACACCAGUGGCGAAAGCGGCUUCCUGGUCCAGCAUCGACGUUUAGGCACGAAAGCGUGGGGAGCAAACAGG
RNAcentral lists this ribosomal RNA (253 nucleotides) under uncultured bacterium. Its description in RNAcentral is "partial 16S ribosomal RNA". It matches the Rfam family "Bacterial small subunit ribosomal RNA", at positions 524 to 776 of the family's 1533-position model. The record is from RNAcentral.